RNAcentral lists this ribosomal RNA (400 nucleotides) under uncultured bacterium. Its description in RNAcentral is "bacterial SSU rRNA". It matches the Rfam family "Bacterial small subunit ribosomal RNA", at positions 355 to 747 of the family's 1533-position model. The record is from RNAcentral.
UGGGGAAUAUUGCACAAUGGGGGAAACCCUGAUGCAGCCAUGCCGCGUGUGUGAAGAAGGCUUUCGGGUUGUAAAGCACUUUCAGUCAGGAGGAAGUGGAGGAGGUUAACAGCCGCCGUCAUUGACGUUACUGACAGAAGAAGCACCGGCUAACUCCGUGCCAGCAGCCGCGGUAAUACGGAGGGUGCAAGCGUUAAUCGGAAUUACUGGGCGUAAAGCGCACGCAGGCGGUCUGUUAAGUCAGAUGUGAAAUCCCCGGGCUCAACCCGGGAACUGCAUUUGAAACUGGCAGGCUUGAGUCUCGUAGAGGGGGGUGGAAUUCCAGGUGUAGCGGUGAAAUGCGUAGAGAUCUGGAGGAAUACCGGUGGCGAAGGCGGCCCCCUGGACGAAGACUGACGCU